Long non-coding RNA from Eriocheir sinensis (Chinese mitten crab), 2356 nucleotides. RefSeq lists it as uncharacterized. The record is from RefSeq and is a predicted model, not a curated record. The transcript has 3 exons. Lineage: Eukaryota; Metazoa; Arthropoda; Malacostraca; Decapoda; Varunidae.
AAAAAUGAAAUCACUAUCACAGGGAGGGAACACACACACACACACACACACACACACACACACACACACACACACACACACACUUUUGGCCUCCCUCCUAUUUUAUUAACACUGUCCCCUUCUCUUCCUUCCUUCCUUCCUUUCUUUCUUCCUUCAUUUCUUCCUUCCUUCCUUCCUUCCUUCUAUUCUAUCUAUGCUUCUUUCUUUCCCUUCCUUCCUUCCUUCCUUUGUUCUUUUCUAUCGCUUUUUUUCUUUCCCUUCCUUCCUUCCUUCCUUCCUUUGUUCUUUUCUAUCGCUUUUUUUCUUUCCCUUCCUUCCUUCCUUCCUUCCUUUGUUCUUUUCUAUCGCUUUUUUUCUUUCCCUUCCUUCCUUCCUUCCUUCCUUUGUUCUAUUCUAUCGCUUUUUUUCUUUCCCUUCCUUCCUUCCUUCCUUCCUUCCUUCCUUCCUUUGUUCUAUUCUAUCGCUUUUUUUCCCUUCCUUCCUUCCUUCCUUCCUUCCAACCUUUUCUUCUAUCAUUUUGAUCAUUAAUUUUAUAUACUUUAUUUACUUAAUUACACUUUCUUUCUUCCUUCCUUCCUUCAUUCACUCUUUCAUUUCCUUUUUCUCUCAUCCAUUUUUCUUUAUUUUUCUCCUCUAUGUAUCGUUUUUUUUUCUUCCAAUCUUCCCCUUUCAACUAUUUAUAUCAUUAUCUUUUUACUCGUUAUUUCCUUCCUUUACUCGCUUUUCCUUUCCCUUCCUUUCCUUCAUCUCCUUUUCUUUAUCUCCACUCUUUCAUCCAUUUCUCUAUUUACUCCUCCGUUAUUAUUUUGUAUCUUCCUUUCUUCCUUCAACUAUUCAUAUCAUUAUCUUUUUACUCGUUAUUUCCUUCCUUUACUCGCUUUUCCUUUCCUUUCCUUUCCUUUCUUUCUUCUUCUUUUCUUUAUCUCCUCUCCUUCAUUCAUCUCUCUGUUUACUCCCCCAUUAUCAUUUUGUAUCUUUCUUUCUUCCUUCCUUCUGCUAAUAUUCUCAUCUUUAUUUCACAUACUUUUCCAUUCCUUUCCUUCCCUUUCCUUUCUAUCAUGUUUCCUUUUAGUUUCCCUCUUUACUCCUCUCUCUUUACUCCCCCAUUUCCAUAUACUUUCUCUUCCUUGCUUACUUCAUUUCACUCCUAUUCUUACUACGUUUACUAAAUUUAUCCACCUCUCUCUCCUUUCCUAUCCUUUCACCCAUUUUCAUUAGUUUCCCCCCUUUACUCAUCUCUGUUUACUCCCCCAUUUCCAUAUACUCGCUCUAUCUUUCUUCCUUCCUUUCACUCCUAUUCUUAUUACGUUUACUAAAUUUAUCCACCUCUCCUUCCUUUCCUAUCCUUUUUUCACCCAUUUUCACUAGUUUUCCCCUUUCCCUCAUCUCUCUACACCCUCCCCUUCCCAUUCUCCAUGACGCAGCGCCGCCGAGCCCAACCCAACCCAACACAGCCCCGCAACGCCCCGUAAAAAAGGCGGACUCCCCUGACCCAGUCUAAGUCUAUUGGCCAAGCGUCCUUCCCUUACUCCCCGGAUUAAUUAAGCUCAGUCAAGGGCCUCCAGUGACGUCACGAGGCCUCCCCUAUGGCCGGGCGAGUCCAUUAAGGAAGGAGGAGGAGGCAAGGCCGCAAGGGAAUGAACUUACGCCAGUGCUAACACGGAUUGCGAGAGGGGCGUGGGCUCGGGCGGCGCUCCGGAAAGAUUGCUGGCUAAAUAAUGGCGACUGGUGCUAAUGAGGUUAAGAAUGAGUGUCCUCGCACCUGACGCUCGUGAAAGGGACGCUGGGAGGGCUAUUUUUAGGGUUGUUUCUUAGGGUUUGGACUCAGGAGGUUGUCUUAGGGUUUGGACUUACGAGGUUGUCUUAGGGUUUGGACUUACGAGGUUGUCUUAGGAUUUGGACUUACGAGGUUGUCUUAGGAUUUGGACUUAGGAGGUUGUCUUAGGGUUUGGACUUACGAGGUUGUCUUAGGAUUUGGACUUACGAGGUUGCCUUAGGAUUUGGACUUACGAGGUUGUCUUAGGGUUUGGACUUACGAGGUUGUCUUAGGAUUUGGACUUACGAGGUUGUCUUAGGAUUUGGACUUAGGAGGUUGUCUUAGGGUUUGGACUUACGAGGUUGUCUUAGGGUUUGGACUUACGAGGUUGUCUUAGGAUUUGGACUUAGGAGGUUGUCUUAGGAUUUGGACUUACGAGGUUGUCUUAGGAUUUGGACUUACGAGGUUGCCUUAGGGUUUGGACUUACGAGGUUGCCUUAGGAUUUGGACUUACGAGGUUGUCUUAGGAUUUGGACUUACGAGGUUGUCUUAGGAUUUGGACUUAGGAGGUUGUCUUAGGGUUUGGACUUAGGAGGUUGU